GUGCUCGCUUCAGCAGCACAUGUACUAAAAUUGGAAUACAGAGAAGAUUAGCGUGGCCUCUGCGCAAGGAUGACACACAAAUUCGUCAACCCUUCCAUAUUUUU
Molecule: small nuclear RNA, 104 nt
Organism: Grammomys surdaster
Lineage: Eukaryota; Metazoa; Chordata; Mammalia; Rodentia; Muridae
Source: RefSeq, a predicted model, not a curated record